This 435-nucleotide ribosomal RNA is filed under the name uncultured bacterium. RNAcentral describes it as "partial 16S ribosomal RNA". It matches the Rfam family "Bacterial small subunit ribosomal RNA", at positions 29 to 507 of the family's 1533-position model. The record is from RNAcentral.
AGCGAACGCUGGCGGCAUGCUUAACACAUGCAAGUCGCACGGAUCUUUCGGGAUCAGUGGCGGACGGGUGAGUAACGCGUAGGGAUCUAUCCAUGGGUGGGGGACAACUCCGGGAAACUGGAGCUAAUACCGCAUGAUACCUGAGGGUCAAAGGCGCAAGUCGCCUGUGGAGGAACCUGCGUUCGAUUGGCUAGGUGGUGGGGUAAAGGCCUACCAAGGCGAUGAUCGAUAGCUGGUUUGAGAGGAUGAUCAGCCACACUGGGCCUGAGACACGGCCCAGACUCCUACGGGAGGCAGCAGUGGGGAAUAUUGGACAAUGGGCGAAAGCCUGAUCCAGCAAUGCCGCGUGUGUGAAGAAGGUCUUCGGAUUGUAAAGCACUUUCGACGGGGACGAUGAUGACGGUACCCGUAGAAGAAGCCCCGGCUAACUUCGUG